Small nuclear RNA from Hippopotamus amphibius kiboko, 107 nucleotides. The record is from RefSeq and is a predicted model, not a curated record. Lineage: Eukaryota; Metazoa; Chordata; Mammalia; Artiodactyla; Hippopotamidae.
GUGCUUGCUUCAGCAGCACAUAUGCUAAAAUUGGAUCCAUUCAGAGAGGAUGAGCAUGGCGCCUGCACAAGGAUGACACUCAGAGUCGUGAAGUGUUCUGUAUUUUU